AAUUGUUCAACAACUCAGGCCUGACUUGGCAUUUUUCUUCUAGUCUCUCAUAGAAACUUCUGGCCUCUGGACACUGUGGGAGCAACUUUUCCUUUAUUAGACUGUCUCCUCUUUAACUGUACCUAGAAGAUACUUUAGCACAGCAAGCAUCUCUUUUAUGCUUACAUUAUGCAGUUAUGCAGACUUGGUGUACGUCCUUCAAGGACAGUCUAAGAAUCUUUGAUUCUAUUUCUGCUGGAUACAUUGUUGCAGAGAUGUAAGAAGGAAGGACUUAGAAAAGUAUGCUAUAAGAAUUGAAUGCUCAGAGGCAAGCUAACUUCACAAGGAGAAAAGAAAGAUGGAAACAGCCUAGACAAACUCAAAUCAAGUCCAGGAGACUUACGCUAGAGUUGCUUUUUCUAAUAGAAGAGACCAGUGUGCAAUUGUGAAUUGUGAUGCUGAGGCAAGCCCCAAGGAUGAAGAGAAUUAAAUAGAGGAGGAAGAGAAGAGGAGAUAGACCAGUGCAAUGGACCUCAUAACCACAUACAAUCUAGUUUUAUGGGGAAACUCCUUGUAUAAAAGAAUAUUGCAGCAUGACUGGGAAGCCUGUCCUUCAUUACUUCAAUUGAAGAAGAAGAAUGGAGUCCAUCCGGUGGCUCCUGGCAGCAGCUGGAGUAGAGUUUGAGGAAGAACUUUUUGAAACCCAUGAAGAGUUUGAGAAGUUAAUCCAAGGUGGAACCCUGAUGUACGAGCAAGUGCCCAUGGUGGAAAUCGAUGGAAUGACUUUGGUGCAGACCAGUGCCAUCUUAAGAUAUGUAGCUGCAAAAUAUGACUUGUAUGGAAGGAACCUGGAGGAACAAGCCUGGAUUGAUAUGUAUGUAGAGGGCUUAAGAGACCUGAGCGACAUGAUAAUGUACUUUCCACUCUCUCUGCCAGAAGAGAAGGAGAUGAACCUUGAAUACAUCCUCCACCGAGCUACAACAAGAUUCUUCCCCGUUUAUGAGAAGGCCCUGAGAGACCACGGGCAAGACUUUCUUGUGGGCAAUCGGCUGAGCUUGGCUGAUGUCCAGCUCCUUGAAGUCAUCUUAAUGGCUGAAGAAUGCAAAGCCAGUGUUCUCUCGGGUUUCCCUCUGCUACAGGACUUCAAGGUGAGAACCAGCCAAAUUCCUACAAUUAACAGCUUCCUCCAACCUGGAAGCCAGAGGAAGCCUCCUUUGGAGGAGCGAUCCAUUGGGACUGCAAAGGACAUAUUCAAAUUUGAAUGAGGACUGUUUCUUAAAAACAUGAGCAAUAUAGUAGCUGAGUAUUAACAGCUACAGAGGCUGGAGUUACUCAGUAAGUAUACUGAGUAACUUGACACUGCAUUCAUAAAAAGACACUCACUAAGUAUAUGGCCAGAGAAAUAUCCUGAAGUUAGUAAUAAAUGUUAGGAAUCUUAGUAUGUUAGCAAUGUUAGAAUGUUAGUAAUGGAAAUAUUAAAUGUGUAAGAGAAAAACUACUAGAAGCUUAUCAAUAAACUACAAGAACCAACUCUUGUUUGAAGUAAGACAGGCUACCAAGACAGAAUUCAGAAAAUCCAAGGAGCCCUCGGCCUUCUGUAUGAUCCUAGAAUAAACUUGUAUGUAGCAAGUGAAA
This 1614-nucleotide long non-coding RNA is filed under the name Mus musculus (house mouse). RNAcentral describes it as "predicted gene, 71569". Lineage: Eukaryota; Metazoa; Chordata; Mammalia; Rodentia; Muridae. The record is from RNAcentral.